ACGCUCGACACCUACGGAGGCAGCAGUAGGGAAUCUUCCACAAUGGACGCAAGUCUGAUGGAGCAACGCCGCGUGAGUGAAGAAGGUCCUCGGAUCGUAAAACUCUGUUGUUAGAGAAGAACACGAGUGAGAGUAACUGUUCAUUCGAUGACGGUAUCUAACCAGCAAGUCACGGCUAACUACGUGUCAGCAGCCGCGGUAAUCUGAGCGGGCUGGCAAGGC
Molecule: ribosomal RNA, 222 nt
Filed under: uncultured bacterium
Lineage: Bacteria
Description: partial 16S ribosomal RNA
Rfam family: Bacterial small subunit ribosomal RNA
Source: RNAcentral